CAGGUGGCUGCGCUUGUCUGUGAUAACCUCGUGCCAAUCGCACGUCCCUUUGACAGCGACAAAGCAUUCGGAUGUCUGCCCUAUCAACUUUUGAUGCUAUUUUCCGCGCCUACCAUGUGACCACGGGUAAUGGGGAAUCAGGGUUCGAUUCCAGGGAGGGAGCCUGAGAAACAGCUACCACAUGCAAGGAAGGCAGCAGGCGCGCAAAUUACCCACUCCCGAUGCGGGGAGGUAGUGA
Non-coding RNA from Pelobates cultripes (western spadefoot toad), 238 nucleotides. The record is from the annotation of a GenBank genome assembly. NCBI's taxonomy places the organism in Eukaryota, Metazoa, Chordata, Amphibia, Anura, Pelobatidae.